UACGUAGGGGGCGAGCGUUGUCCGGAUUCAUUGGGCGUAAAGAGCUCGUAGGCGGCUUAGCAAGUCGGGUGUAAAACCUCCAGGCUUAACCUGGAGAGGCCACCCGAUACUGCUAUGGCUAGAGUCCGGUAGGGGACCACGGAAUUCCUGGUGUAGCGGUGAAAUGCGCAGAUAUCAGGAGGAACACCGGUGGCGAAGGCGGUGGUCUGGGCCGGUACUGACGCUGAGGAGCGAAAGCGUGGGGAGCGAACAGG
Molecule: ribosomal RNA, 254 nt
Filed under: uncultured bacterium
Lineage: Bacteria
Also listed under: 1 other name
Description: partial 16S ribosomal RNA
Rfam family: Bacterial small subunit ribosomal RNA
Source: RNAcentral